This 2514-nucleotide long non-coding RNA is filed under the name Sus scrofa (pig). RNAcentral describes it as "lncRNA (ENSSSCG00055026620.1)". Lineage: Eukaryota; Metazoa; Chordata; Mammalia; Artiodactyla; Suidae. The record is from RNAcentral.
UUUUUUUUUUUUUUUUUAAUUCCUUAGUAAGAAAAUAAGCAUCUUAACAGUCAUUACUGCUCUGGGAAAAUCAAGUCUCCUCUAGACGAUUCCAGGUAUCUGACAUGUACCGUUUUUAUAAUUCAGGACAGAAUGUAGACUGUCAAAUAUAACAAUAUAACUCAUGAAUUCAAAUUUUGUUCUCUCUGAUAUUCCUAAAUGCUUAUUCAGUUAGGACAUAGAAUGGUGUGAAUAAAUGCUACCAGGAGCAUUAAAAGAAAAUGCUGAGUGAAAGACAUAAAAAUCCUAAUUCCAUUAAAAAUUAAUCCCCAAAGACAGUAAGGUUAUGCUGCUAACUAGUGAGGAUCCCAUACUACCAAACCGAGAAGAGCAGAAAUAGAAAAACCUUGAAGGACUAGUGUUACCAUUCAUUUUCUCUUUUUCUCAGUUCAAAAUCUUUGAAUAAUUAAUACAGUAAUACUUCAUAAAUGCAUAUGAACCUACCACCUCUCUUCUCUUGUAGUUUAAUUAGAUGAUUGACUUCAGGCAUACCAUAAAUUAUAAUGACAAUUUAAUUACUUCUGUAAUGUGCACACUUAAAAGAUUUAUAAACAGGAAUAGAAGAGCCCAGUGUACUGAAAAGGAGAAUACCAAAAGCAAGCAAGCACAACCCAGGUUGAGGACAGAGACAGACGAUUUCUGUAAGAGCUGAACCAGAAGGGGUUUCUCAUGCUUCAGUAAACAACUAUUCUAUUGCCUUACAACAGAUUAUUAGCAACCUUCACAGGCUUCUUUAUCACCUUGACUGUCUUUACCAGGAAGGAGUCAGACCUCUCAUAUUUUUGUGGGUGUCAGCUGGGCCACAGAGCCUUUCCAAGAAGUGAAAAGUCACAGACCUUUGAGAGAGUCAGCUCUUGGUUUAAAUCCUUCUUCUGCCACGGCCACCAGUGACUGACAAAGGUAACCUCUCUGGGCUUGAAUUUCUUCCAUUUGUAAAGUGAAGAAAACCCUUAGUUUGCAGAGCUGGGAUGGAAGUUAAUUAGAUAGAUAGUAUGGUGCAUUGGUUAAGAGGCGUACUCUGCCUCUUGUGACCUCUAGAACCCUUAAGCAUGUUAUUUAUUCUCUUAGUGCCUCCGUUUCCCCAUCUAGAAAGUAGAGAUAAUAAUGGCAACUACCUCAAAAGCUUGUUGGAGGAGUUCCAGUUGUUGCUCAGCGGGUUGAGAACCCAACUAGUAUCCACAAGGAUGCAGUUGGACUCGUUUCCACUGAGCCACAACAGGAAAUCCCUUAGCUAAAAUUUUUUUGAUGGAGACCUUUAGUUCUCUUCUCUGCUCGCAUGCUAAACUGGAAAAUGGAAAGAAUGGAAGAUGGGGAAAGGUGAGGUUAUGAGAAAUCUUACAGAGGGGUAUACUAAGUCUGGUAUUCCUAACCAGCUUUAGAUAGUGUGGUUUUAGUAUUCUUCUAAUAAGCAACUGGAUAUGUGCCUUCGUGUGAAUAUUUAGUUGAAGAAAAAUACAUUGAAUUAGAAAGCAUCACUGCCCACCUAUAUCAGAAAACAAACAUUUUACUCUUUUGCUAUUAUGUAUUUUCAUUUGUCCUCUUUUUAAACUUUGCAUGCUAUUAAAAGUUAAGCUUUAUAUUAAUAACUUCACAGAAAGGCUGCAGCCAAAAGUCAUGAAUGCUACACAUUAAUGAGUAUUUCUUAUUGUCAAAGCCAGACAAUCUCAAGUAGUUUAAUAAAAAACUAUCAGCAAUAUUUAUCACUAUGGCAUCCAAGCUACUGUACAUUUGGUUAAAGAUAAGACAAAUAUCUGGCUUUAUCUGCUUUCUACAAGCCAGUUGUUAUCACCCCAGAUUGACUGCAACAGAUAUGCUUUUGAAACACAGAACCUGAACACAGCAUCUCUGAUUCUUCUUCCACCCACUUCUGUGACAGCUUUGGCCAGCAACAGCUGCAACUGAUAUAUUACUCUACUUGUUUUAAGAAUGUGGCAUAAAUAUAGAGAUUAGAUGACAUAAAGCUGGGAAUACUGGACACAGCUCUUAAAGGUUUUCCUGAGCUAGUCAGAAAAAAAAAAAUUAAGAUAUGUGAUGAAAGAAUUUGUAUGUGCCAUCAGUUACUUAGAAAACACAUGGACAAAAAUAUGCUUUCAGUAAUUAAUACAUUAUUAGUGGAGGAGGAGCAUGCAAAAGGUGCAAAGCACCCUAGUGGCUUUAAGACAAUAAAAAUACCAAUAGGACCACCAAGUGAAAUUCUUUAAAUCCCAUGUGCUAGGUCAUUUAUGUCUAUACACGUUAUUUUUAAAAAGAAACUCCCAACAGUCUCAGUGUCACCCAUCUGCAUAGCCCAACUUCAAUUAUUAUUGUAUAUCUUACACAUUAUUAUUGUAUAUCUUUAAUUGGCAAAGAUCAGCAACAGAAAGGAAACAUAUGUCUAGAAUCUUAAAACUAGAAAGACAUCACAUUGCAAGGCUGCUGUGCCAGUAAUUUCCGUUUUCGAGAGUUACACAUGCUUGAACAAUAGUUAUCCUACUA